GGGCGUGUGGUCUAGUGGUAUGAUUUUCGCUUCGCAUGUGAAAGGUCCGGGGUUCAAUCCCCCGCACGUCCA
This 72-nucleotide transfer RNA is filed under the name Neonectria ditissima. It matches the Rfam family "tRNA". From Rfam's summary of the family: Transfer RNA (tRNA) molecules are approximately 80 nucleotides in length. Their secondary structure includes four short double-helical elements and three loops (D, anti-codon, and T loops). Further hydrogen bonds mediate the characteristic L-shaped molecular structure. tRNAs have two regions of fundamental functional importance: the anti-codon, which is responsible for specific mRNA codon recognition, and the 3' end, to which the tRNAs corresponding amino acid is attached (by aminoacyl-tRNA synthetases). tRNAs cope with the degeneracy of the genetic code in two manners: having more than one tRNA (with a specific anti-codon) for a particular amino acid; and 'wobble' base-pairing, i.e. permitting non-standard base-pairing at the 3rd anti-codon position. The record is from Rfam by way of RNAcentral. Lineage: Eukaryota; Fungi; Ascomycota; Sordariomycetes; Hypocreales; Nectriaceae.